AACAAGUCGUUAGUAUUGAACGUCCCCUCCCCGNCGGUUCUAACCCANAGAAAGCCACGGNNNGACANGGCUAACUACGUGCCAGCAGCCGCGGUAAUACGUAGGUGGCAAGCGUUGUCCGGAUUUAUUGGGCGUAAAGCGAGCGCAGGCGGUUUCUUAAGUCUGAUGUGAAAGCCCCCGGCUCAACCGGGGAGGGUCAUUGGAAACUGGGAGACUUGAGUGCAGAAGAGGAGANGA
Molecule: ribosomal RNA, 237 nt
Filed under: Enterococcus sp. UepopsBT176.206
Lineage: Bacteria; Bacillati; Bacillota; Bacilli; Lactobacillales; Enterococcaceae
Description: partial 16S ribosomal RNA
Rfam family: Bacterial small subunit ribosomal RNA
Source: RNAcentral